GAGGGACACAGCCCAAGGCCUGCUGGGUGCCAGGUCAGUGCCAGAGAGGGGCAGAGCAGGAACAGGGCCACCCGCUGCCCUGGCCCCCCGUGGCCCCUACCCUCCCACUCCUUUCCCCAGCUGUGUGCCCACUGUGUCCAGAUGCAGGUGGGUUUCCCACCAGCACAGCCAACUUCCCUCUGUGGCCAGGGCUCUCCCUUUUUCCAUUUGUCCAGCCUCAUCUGUGAGAUCCCACAUCCUGUUCCACUGCUGCAGCCUCCAGCUGGGGUGAAGGAUGGGUCCCAGCAUGGAGCAGAAGGUGCUCUCUGUGCCCAACCUGUCUCGUAUGAAACAGUGCAGUGGCACUUUGAAGAAGUCUGCAAAAUUCUGGAUGAAAUAAUAGCUGGGAAGCUGGCACUGCCAAUAAUUCCUGUACUGGAUGGAAGCUGCCUGGUGCCCUGGGAGCUGCCAAGCCCUCUGGCCGGCCAUGGGGCUGUGCCUGGAGAUGCAGUGUGCCAGGGGACGUGGUGUACCAGGGGAUGCUGUGUGCCCAGGGACAUUCCCAGUGUGCCCACUGCCCAGGGGGUCCCACUGUCCUGAGGACAGCAGCACCCAUGGCACCAGGGACAGGUUGUGGUGGGGUUGAUGCCAGACACGGCAGCCGGACUUUGCUUUCCAAUAGUGUUUGUUCACCUCAGACUCCCUGUGGAAGAUGAUGAGGGUGAUGGAAAUAUCACUGACAGCUUUCAAGGCUCAAACAAACAUGGAAAGUUUGAUUCCUGGAACAAAGAGAGGUACAAAGUACCAUCAGGCACAACCUUCCCUGCUCCCUGUGUCUGACUGUAUCACCUGGCUCCAAGCUGGGCAUGCAUGCCUGUGCAGAAGCUGCUGGUGGCAUGGCUGGAUCACCUUGGACAAUCCGUCCUGGGGCUGGAUGUGCCAUGUCCGAGCAGGUAAUCCCCAGGGACACUGGGAUUAGCCCUGGGGAGCAAAGUCAGCACCAGCACUCCUGAGAGAACAGCCCAGCCAGGUUCUGUCAUGUGUCCUUACACACCAAAGUCCAUCACUAAUUAAAGAUUUAAUAACCAAA
Molecule: long non-coding RNA, 1069 nt
Organism: Pseudopipra pipra
Lineage: Eukaryota; Metazoa; Chordata; Aves; Passeriformes; Pipridae
Exons: 2
Source: RefSeq, a predicted model, not a curated record